GAUGAACGCUGGCGGCGUGCCUAACACAUGCAAGUCGAGCGUGAACCCUGCGAAUGAAACUUCGGUCGAUUUUGCAGGGGGAAAGCGGCGGACGGGUGAGUAACGCGUAGGUAACCUGCCCCAUACUGAGGGAUAGCCUCGGGAAACCGGGAUUAAUACCUCAUAACACCGUAUAUUCGCAUGGAUGUGCGGUCAAAGAUUUAUCGGUAUGGGAUGGGCCUGCGUCUGAUUAGCUGGUUGGUGGGGUAACGGCCUACCAAGGCGACGAUCAGUAGCCGACCUGAGAGGGUGAUCGGCCACAUUGGAACUGAGACACGGUCCAAACUCCUACGGGAGGCAGCAGUGGGGAAUAUUGCACAAUGGGCGAAAGCCUGAUGCAGCAACGCCGCGUGAGCGAAGAAGGCCUUUGGGUCGUAAAGCUCUGUCGGGUAGGAAGAUAAUGACGGUACUACCCGAGGAAGCCCCGGCUAACUACGUGCCAGCAGCCGCGGUAAUACGUAGGGGGCGAGCGUUAUCCGGAAUUACUGGGCGUAAAGAGUGCGUAGGUGGCUGCUUAAGCGUGAGGUGAAAGGCAAUGGCUUAACCAUUGUGAGCCUCGCGAACUGGGUGGCUUGAGUGCAGGAGAGGAAAGCGGAAUUCCUAGUGUAGCGGUGAAAUGCGUAGAUAUUAGGAGGAACACCAGUGGCGAAGGCGGCUUUCUGGACUGCAACUGACACUGAGGCACGAAAGCGUGGGGAGCAAACAGGAUUAGAUACCCUGGUAGUCCACGCCGUAAACGAUGGGCACUAGGUGUCGGGGUCGCAAGACUUCGGUGCCGCAGUUAACGCAUUAAGUGCUCCGCCUGGGGAGUACGCACGCAAGUGUGAAACUCAAAGGAAUUGACGGGGACCCGCACAAGCAGCGGAGCAUGUGGUUUAAUUCGAAGCAACGCGAAGAACCUUACCAGGGCUUGACAUCCCUCUGACAGGUGGGUAACGCCACCCUCUCUUCGGAGCAGAGGUGACAGGUGGUGCAUGGUUGUCGUCAGCUCGUGUCGUGAGAUGUUGGGUUAAGUCCCGCAACGAGCGCAACCCUUGUCAUUAGUUGCCAUCAGGUGAUGCUGGGCACUCUAAUGAGACUGCCGGGGAUAACUCGGAGGAAGGUGGGGAUGACGUCAAAUCAUCAUGCCCCUUAUGUUCUGGGCUACACACGUGCUACAAUGGCCGGUACAGCGAGAGGCGAACCCGCGAGGGGGAGCAAAACUCCAAAACCGGUCCCAGUUCGGAUUGCAGGCUGAAACUCGCCUGCAUGAAGUCGGAGUUGCUAGUAAUCGCGAAUCAGCAUGUCGCGGUGAAUGCGUUCCCGGGUCUUGUACACACCGCCCGUCACACCACGGAAGUUGGGGGCGCCCGAAGUCGGUCAGUAAAUAGGCUGCCUAAGGCGAAACCAAUGACUGGGGUG
This 1440-nucleotide ribosomal RNA is filed under the name uncultured bacterium. Its description in RNAcentral is "bacterial SSU rRNA". It matches the Rfam family "Bacterial small subunit ribosomal RNA". The record is from RNAcentral.